Long non-coding RNA from Taeniopygia guttata (zebra finch), 3452 nucleotides. The record is from Ensembl. Lineage: Eukaryota; Metazoa; Chordata; Aves; Passeriformes; Estrildidae.
UGCAAGGCAAAAAAGAGAGCGUUUAUUUUCUGACUCCAACUUUUAUACUUCUCCAAAGGUGACAGUGGAUUGGAGAGUGAACGGGCCACCUCUCCAAAGACAUUGGACAAAGCACUAGUACAUCAAGUCUCUCCACCCCCAUGGAGGAAUGCAAAACAAUACAUUAUUUACAGAAACUGUGUGGGAAAGUUUCCUAAUAGAAUGUAAAUUCAGAAGGCUUAAGAAAACUCAAGAAUCAGGGCGACAUCUCACCCUUUUUAGUUUAAAAGAAAAGGAAAAAUGAAUAAGGUUCAGUGUCUGUUCGUGGAGGAAUCAUCAGAGUGAUCACCCACCGUCAUCUUCAACUGAGUCAUCACUCGAUGAUCCAUCCAUUUGAUGACUUUCAGUUUGGUCACGGCUUCUAUGUUGCCCGUUUGUCAGAUUCUGUCUCUGCGGUUGCAGAUCAGGACGAACACACCUUGAAGGUACCCAGUGUACCCCAGUAUCUGUGGAUACACAAGCAUACCCGCGCCCCGAAGCGAUAAGGUCAUAGGGACCUUCCCAUUGUUUAGUGACUAAAUUCCGCACUCGAACUUUUGCUCGAGGCUGAUGUGCCUCGUCUGCAGCUUGCAAUGAGAGAUGAUGAUUUAAAAUGACAGGGUUGUUUGAAUUCUGCUGCACUGUAAGAUGAUUGAUGGUGUACAAUGCUUUCUCCAACCGACUGUGCGGGGUCUCACCCUGCAUUCCCCGUUUUUGUUUUUGAAGAACCCGCUUCAGAGUACCAUGAGCGCGUUCUACAAUAGCUUGGCCGGUUGGAGAAUGGGGGAUACCAAACUUGUGUGACACACCCCACAACUGUAGGAACUGCCGCACCUGCUGCGAUGCAUAAGCAGGACCAUUGUCAGUUUUCACAGCAGAAGGUAUGCCUAGAACGGCAAAGGCCUGCCUCCAGUGGGCAAUGACAUCACGAGCCUUUUCUCCAGUGUGAGCGGAAGCCCACAUCGCAGAGGAGAACGUGUCCACCGUGACAUGCACAUACUUGAGCCGGCCAAACUCGGCAAUCUGGGUGACAUCAGUCUGCCAAAGCUCCAAGGCCCUAAGGCCUCUAGGGUUUACCCCUGCUGGUAAAGGCGGAGCAAGUGCAUGGCAGUCGUCACAGGACUCAACAAUGCUACGAGCCUCUGUUGGCGUUAGCUGAAACUGCUUCUGCAGAGUAUGUGCAUUCUGAUGGAAAAACCCAUGUGAUGCCUUGGCCUGUGCGAGUGUAUCAGGCUGGGGUGCUACCCACGCCGGAUUAGCCAACUUGUCAGCCCUCGCGUUACCUUCUGCUACAAACCCUGGUAAAUUGGUGUGACUUCUCACAUGCAGAACGUAAAACGGAUGAACCCGGGCCUGAAUAGCACACCACAAGGUCCUCAGUAAAUGAAACAAGGCAGGGUUACUGACCUCCUUCAAAACUGAGUGACCCAACCGCUGUGCGAUAUCAGCCACAUAGGCAGAAUCCGUGACCAAAUUGAAAGGUUCCUGGGAAAAUCUCUCAAAUGCCAUAACAGCGGCCCUCAACUCAACCACUUGGGCCGACCCAUCCUGAUGACCUUUCAGAACCUUCCACUCAGAUCCGUCCUUCCAAGUAACAAUGGCCUUUCCUGUUUUCCCCGAACCGUCAGUAAAGACGGUGGGUCCUUGCACAGGUUCCUGACUAUUUUUGGGCCGCAAAGAGAUCUGCAUAGAUUUUGCCACCUGCAGUAGCUUGUGGCUGGGCAAAUGAUAAGUGAUCUGCCCUGAAAAGUUUUCUAGAGCACAUUGCAGGGACACACAGUGUGCAAAGCUCCAGUCAAAGUCCUCCCGGGAUAUCGGGAGUAUGAUCUUUGCAGGAUCCGCACCCAUCAAUUGCAAACACCGUUGCCGGCAUUUCAUUAUCAACCGAGCAAUCAACUCAGCCAAUGUCGUUGCCGUCUUCUGCGGCUGAUGGGGCAGGAAAACCCAUUCCAAGAUGUGCAAGGGAUCGGACCAUUUGUCACUCCAUUGACCAAUGAUACCUGUGGGAUGCGAAUCUGGAGUGGUAACGAACACAGCGACAUCAACGGAAAGAUCAAUGCGAUAAACCUGACGGGCAGAAACAGCCUGCUGAACCUCCUCCAGCACCUGACGUGCCUCAGGGGUCAAUGUGCGAGGUGAUUUUAAAUCAGAGUCUCCUUUCAACAGAUCAUACACAGGAGACAGUUGUGCAUCGGUUAGUCCCAAGUAUGGACGUAACCAGGUGAUGACACCCAUCAGUUUUUGAACAUCAUUCAGUGUCUUCACCGAGUGUGCAAAUUGCACCUCCUGGUGUUGGAUUGUCCGUUCCAGAAUUUUGACCCCCAAAUACUUCCAAGGAGGUUGCUGUUGAACCUUUUCUGGAGCCACCUGCAGCCCAUGAGCAUGCAAAGCAUCGAGCAACCGAGGCUGAAUCCUCAGCAGCUCAUCCUGAGUGGACGCAGCCACCAAGAUGUCGUCCAUAUAAUGAUACAGACGUGCAUCAGGAAACUGCUUGCGAACUCCAGACAAGGCACGGGCCACAUACCAUUGGCAUAUGACCGGGGAAUUGCGCAUCCCCUGUGGCAGAACUUUCCAUUGAUAUCGCUGUGCAGGCUCAUCAUUGUCAAUUGCUGGCACCGUGAAGGCAAAUUUCGGUCUGUCAUCGGGAUGCAAAGGAAUUGUAAAGAAACAAUCCUUCAAAUCCACGAUGAAGAUCGGCCAGCCUGCAGGAAGCAUGGUAGGCGAUGGCAUGCCCGCCUGCAAUGUUCCCAUGCCUUCCAUGACAGCAUUGACCUUCCGGAGGUCCUGUAACAACCUCCAUUUCCCAGACUUCUUUUUGAUGCAGAAAACAGGGGUGUUCCAGGGACUGUUAGAAGGCUCCAGACGACCCUGGUCCAGCUGCUCCUGCACCAAUUUCCGAAGGGCGAUCAGUUUAUCUUGAGGGAGGGGCCACUGGUUUUCCCAAACAGGUGUAUCCACCAGCCACCGUAUAGGAGGCGUAGGACACUCUGCGCCCUUCGCUGCAGUGGCCCCCAUCAAAAACCCGUCCCAAUGCGCACCCCCCACGCAGAUAGAACAUCCCUCCCCCAGAGGUUAGCAGGAGAAGAAGUAACAUAAGGCCUAAUCCAGGCCGUCUGUCCCUCUGGGUUUGUGACCAGCACAGGCCGUUGGCUCACAUAACACCGUGCUGUUCCCCCCAGGCCCGCAACAGACGUCUCCGCUGGAUCCAGGGGCCAGUCCGGAGGCCAGGCGGCAAGGGAGAGAACCGUGACAUCAGCGCCGCUGUCAAGGAGCCCGCGCAGGCGGAUCUCUGACGGUGUUGCAUCAGGGAUGGAGAGGGUACACAGCAUCUCGGGACGGUCUUUGGUCAGGACAGCAGUCCAGUGAACUUGAGGCGGCCCAGUGGAUCCAAAACCGCCAUCACCUCGCAACCGGUCAGUCGUCCUGCGCACAGA